RNAcentral lists this ribosomal RNA (468 nucleotides) under uncultured bacterium. Its description in RNAcentral is "partial 16S ribosomal RNA". It matches the Rfam family "Bacterial small subunit ribosomal RNA", at positions 28 to 507 of the family's 1533-position model. The record is from RNAcentral.
GACGAACGCUGGCGGCGUGCUUAACACAUGCAAGUCGAACGGAAAGGCCCUGCUUUUGUGGGGUGCUCGAGUGGCGAAAGGGUGAGUAACACGUGAGUAGCCUGCCCUUGACUUUGGGAUAACUUCAGGAAACUGGGGCUAAUACCGGAUAGGAGCUCCUGCUGCAUGGUGGGGGUUGGAAAGUUUCGGCGGUUGGGGAUGGACUCGCGGCUUAUCAGCUUGUUGGUGGGGUAGUGGCUUACCAAGGCUUUGACGGGUAGCCGGCCUGCGAGGGUGACCGGCCACAUUGGGACUGAGAUACGGCCCAGACGCCUACGGGAGGCAGCAGUGGGGAAAAUUGCACAAUGGGCGGAAGCCUGAUGCAGCAACGCCGCGUGGUGGAGGACGGCCUUCGGGUUGUAAACCGCUUUCGCCUGUGACGAAGCGUGAGUGACGGUAAUGGGUAAAGAAGCACCGGCUAACUACGUG